Molecule: long non-coding RNA, 326 nt
Organism: Aphis gossypii (cotton aphid)
Lineage: Eukaryota; Metazoa; Arthropoda; Insecta; Hemiptera; Aphididae
Exons: 3
Source: RefSeq, a predicted model, not a curated record
UGUUUUUAAUAAGAUCAAAUGAUCCAUAUUGCUUCUUUGUAUAUAUGUUUACAAGAUAUAUAUACAUAUAUAGUAUAAGGAUAUUAUAAGUUUCGAUCGACCGUGUAUUUGACGAAAAAUUGAAAACCAAAACAGGCUUACAAUAGAUUUUGUUAUAAGUUAUAACAAAUAAAUGUUUUGAUUGGUCCUUCACAAAUAGAGAUUGAAAAAUAGGAGAAAAACCAUUUAUUUUUCGAACGUGAUUCUCAUCGCGUCUCAUACAUCAAUAUGGUACAAAAUGAUUAUUGUGUAUGACUUCCCAAUAGUUUGCUCCAUUUCUAUUUGUG